CGGCCCAGCCUUUUCCCUUCCAGCUCCCUGUUUGAAGCUAUUUUUUCCACAGCUCCUGCCAAGAGCCGCUAAUGAGAAACAAACGGGCUCCUCGGCCGCGGCUGCUCCCGGCCCACACACCUCCGGCUGUGGGGACGGGGCUGCACCUCCCGGUGCCCUCCUGGCACCGUCCUCCCGCGGGCACCGCCGGCCCUCCUGGCACCGGCCCUGGGCACCUGCGUCUUCCCCAUCUGGCACCGGCCCUGGGCAUCUCUGUCCUCCCUGUCCAGCACCACCCCUGGACAUCUCCAUCCUGCCCACAUGCCACUAUCACUGGCCCUCUCCCGCUCCGGCAUCCCUCCGGCAUCCCUCCGGCAUCCCUCCGGCCGGGCCUGGCCCCGCUGCAGAGCCAGUGUCGACGGCUUCCUGCGGAGGCGGAGGAAUUUGGCACCCGGCCCAGGGCUGGAGCUGGACACUGCAGGCAGCACGGCCACCCAGCACCCAAAGGCAGGAGAGCAUCCCACUGGCAAUGGGAAUGGGGGUCGGGUGCCACCGUGGAGGUGGAUGGCGAGGGGAGGCCCGUGUGGGUCUGUCUGUGGGUGCACACGCGUCCGGCCGGGGCUGAUUCAUGUGCCUGUGUCACGCAUGUGCAUGAGCAGUGGUUGCACGUGCCGGGGUUGCACACGCAGGGGCUGCACCCAAGUUUGUGUGGAGGGAUGGAGAAGGGAUGGAGAAGCAGAGGAAUGGAGGGAUAAAUAAAUAAGUAAAGGAG
Chiroxiphia lanceolata (lance-tailed manakin) is the source of this 751-nucleotide long non-coding RNA. RefSeq lists it as uncharacterized. The transcript has 2 exons. Lineage: Eukaryota; Metazoa; Chordata; Aves; Passeriformes; Pipridae. The record is from RefSeq and is a predicted model, not a curated record.